RNAcentral lists this ribosomal RNA (449 nucleotides) under uncultured bacterium. RNAcentral's name for it is "partial 16S ribosomal RNA". It matches the Rfam family "Bacterial small subunit ribosomal RNA", at positions 29 to 523 of the family's 1533-position model. The record is from RNAcentral.
AACGAACGCUGGCGGCAUGCCUAACACAUGCAAGUCGAACGAGAUCUUCGGGUCUAGUGGCGCACGGGUGCGUAACGCGUGGGAAUCUGCCCUUUGGUUCGGAAUAACAGUUGGAAACGAGUGCUAAUACCGGAUGAUGACGAAAGUCCAAAGAUUUAUCGCCAGAGGAUGAGCCCGCGUAGGAUUAGCUAGUUGGUGUGGUAAAGGCGCACCAAGGCGACGAUCCUUAGCUGGUCUGAGAGGAUGAUCAGCCACACUGGGACUGAGACACGGCCCAGACUCCUACGGGAGGCAGCAGUGGGGAAUAUUGGACAAUGGGCGAAAGUCUGAUCCAGCAAUGCCGCGUGAGUGAUGAAGGCCUUAGGGUUGUAAAGCUCUUUUACCCGGGAUGAUAAUGACAGUACCGGGAGAAUAAGCUCCGGCUAACUCCGUGCCAGCAGCCGCGGUAA